UAUUUGGGUUAAUUUGUUCAUGUC
RNAcentral lists this non-coding RNA (24 nucleotides) under Arabidopsis thaliana (thale cress). The record is from RNAcentral. Lineage: Eukaryota; Viridiplantae; Streptophyta; Magnoliopsida; Brassicales; Brassicaceae.